GACGAACGCUGGCGGCGUGCCUAAUACAUGCAAGUAGAACGCAGUUGCGAACGGGUGAGUAACGCGUAGGUAACUGCCUCAUAGCGGGGGAUAACUAUUGGAAACGAUAGCUAAUACCGCAUACUGUGAGAUGGACCUGCGUUGUAUUAGCUAGUUGGUGAGGUAAAGGCUCACCAAGGCGACGAUACAUAGCCGACCUGAGAGGGGUAUGGGGUACACAAGGACCGGGACACGUCCCCGAGUCCUAGUGGAGCCGGCAGUAGGGACUCUGCGUGAAUGGACUGAAGUCUAACCGAGCAACGCCCCGCGAGUGAAACAGGUAUUCGGAUCGGAAAGCUCUGUUGUUAGAUAAGCGGUAACUAACCAGAAAGGGACGGUUAACUACGUGCCAGCAGCCGCGGUAAUUC
RNAcentral lists this ribosomal RNA (407 nucleotides) under uncultured bacterium. RNAcentral describes it as "partial 16S ribosomal RNA". It matches the Rfam family "Bacterial small subunit ribosomal RNA", at positions 28 to 526 of the family's 1533-position model. The record is from RNAcentral.